UACGAAAGGCCCAAACGUUAUUCGGAAUUACUGGGCUUAAAGAGUUCGUAGGCGGCGCAGCAAGUCGGGUGUGAAAGCCCUCGGCUUAACCGAGGAAUUGCGCUCUAAACUACUGUGCUUGAGGAACCUAGAGGUGAGCAGAACUGAUGGUGGAGCGGUGAAAUGCGCAGAUAUCAGGAAGAACACCCGUGGCGAAGGCGGCUCUCUGGGACGGUACUGACGCUGAGACGCGAAAGCGUGGGGAGCGAACAGG
RNAcentral lists this ribosomal RNA (253 nucleotides) under uncultured bacterium. Its description in RNAcentral is "partial 16S ribosomal RNA". It matches the Rfam family "Bacterial small subunit ribosomal RNA", at positions 524 to 776 of the family's 1533-position model. The record is from RNAcentral.